UUUGGGUUCCCCAUAUUCCAUAAUGUCUCUGAGAAUUUUUCUCGAAUUUUUGGAGCUUUCGGAAUAUUUUUCAUGACUUAAAUAAUGAUUCUGGAUUUUUCUAGAAUUACUUUAUCCAUGAAAUUAAUUAAUUCUGAAAAUCAUAAAACAUCUAUUCCUUUUAAUGCUCAAAUAUCAUGUGUAAUAAUUAUAAUAAAUCCCAAAGACCAUGUCUUUAUUUAUUAAUUGGCUUUAAUGUUUAUUUAGACCCAUUAGUAAAGGUGGAAGGUGCAACAUCAAUUAGUACCAUAUUGAUAGUUGAUGUAAAUGUGGAGAGUUUUUCUCCCUAUAUAUAUGUACUAACCCCUUAGGCCAAAGCACACCAAUAUCUACCAUAGGGGAAGUCCCUGGUUUGGGAAAUCCCUCGCGUAGUAAAUUAAAAUUUUCUUUCUUCUUGACACCGUCGGUUAACAUUGACGAUUUCUUCGGCGAGCUUCUCCAGCCAUCUCGAGUGUCUCUGAUGAGGAUCAUUAUCAUGAGCUACCUCUCCUGUCGCCGCAGUUGUUGAUGCCGUCAACGGCCCCUCCGUCUUUCUGAGUUCCGCGUAGAGGAAACAGACGUCUGUUCCGUCGAUCUUGAGCCUAUCGCCCUUCAACUUCAUCGCUGCCAUCGAUCACCAACGGUGAUGCCGUCUGCUGCUAGCCAGCGACCAGCGCUCGUCAUUCGCUUCGGCUGCACGGUGAGCAUCUGAAGAUGCUUGUGUGGUGCUUUGUGAUCAUGUCCAGUCGGUGAGCUUUACGUGGUGAUCAAGAAACAGAUCAUUGAAGGUUUGGAACUAGAAGAAGGAUCUAAGUUUAAGGCAAGUAUAGCAUGGGAUCAUCCUUGUUUCCUAAUAACUUU
Molecule: long non-coding RNA, 879 nt
Organism: Sorghum bicolor (sorghum)
Lineage: Eukaryota; Viridiplantae; Streptophyta; Magnoliopsida; Poales; Poaceae
Exons: 3
Source: RefSeq, a predicted model, not a curated record